This 450-nucleotide ribosomal RNA is filed under the name uncultured bacterium. RNAcentral's name for it is "bacterial SSU rRNA". It matches the Rfam family "Bacterial small subunit ribosomal RNA", at positions 29 to 524 of the family's 1533-position model. The record is from RNAcentral.
AACGAACGCUGGCGGCAGGCCUAACACAUGCAAGUCGAACGCUGUAGCAAUACAGAGUGGCAGACGGGUGAGUAACGCGUGGGAACAUUCCUAGUGGUACGGAAUAGCUCAGGGAAACUUGGGGUAAUACCGUAUACGCCCUUACGGGAAGAUUUAUCGCCAUUAGAUUGGCCCGCGUAGGAUUAGCUAGUUGGUGAGGUAAUGGCUCACCAAGGCGACGAUCCUUAGCUGGUUUGAGAGAAUGACCAGCCACACUGGGACUGAGACACGGCCCAGACUCCUACGGGAGGCAGCAGUGGGGAAUCUUGGACAAUGGGCGCAAGCCUGAUCCAGCCAUGCCGCGUGAGUGACGAAGGCCUUAGGGUUGUAAAGCUCUUUUGUCCGGGGACGGAUAAUGACGGUACCCGGAGAAUAAGUCCCGGCUAACUUCGUGCCAGCAGCCGCGGUAAU